This is a long non-coding RNA of Scylla paramamosain (green mud crab), 13706 nucleotides long. RefSeq lists it as uncharacterized. The record is from RefSeq and is a predicted model, not a curated record. Lineage: Eukaryota; Metazoa; Arthropoda; Malacostraca; Decapoda; Portunidae. The transcript is spliced from 3 exons.
GGACUCACGACUCGUCAGUGUUCGUGUGGAGUGGAAUGAGGGAGGAGUGCGUGCUCUCGCCCGUAUUGCUCAUGGUGAUUUUAUUGUGCAAAUAAGGAGUAACGAGGUGUAUUGUGUGAUCCGAAGACAAUUUACUUGACAUAGAAACGUCUGCCAGAAAGACGUGGGCGAGGGGCGGCCGUGGAGUGUGUUAGUGGGCGGCGGGAAGUGUUGGUGCGGGUGUGGGUGUGCCGCCCGGACCCGCCGGCACCGCGACAGGUGCGAGUUAGAGUGAGUUUUCAGUGGAAGUUAUACAGUGUUAGUAUGUAAACAGACUCAGAGUGGUGUCGCGCUGCCGCCUAGGAACUGUACCUUCGCUGCCGCUCCGGUCUGGAUACCUUCAGCUGAUGAACCCAAACAAAGAGUACGUGUAUGUUCCCCAAGCUCAAGUGAUUAUCUCCUGAUGAACGCCGCGUGUCUAAGUGACUAUGCAGAGCGGUAAGGCUUCCCGCAAGAAGACCCAUCAAGUUGACGAGGAAACAUUAAUUCCAAGAUCGUGAGAAUAAUUAGUCAGGCUGAAGGAAACCUGCUCGAGGAAUAAAACUGACUGCGGAGGGUGUGAGGACCGGGACGCCGUAGCAGGUGACUGGAAGUUGGCGGGAAAGAAAGGGUUGAAACUUGAGAAUGGAGGAGUGAGGGUGACGAGCAGCGGGCACCGGGCUGGUCUUGGCGGUGGAAGGGUCGCCCAUUUGAAGUACAAGACCAGUAUGAGACUCGAUGACUGGUGGAAGUGCGCUUAACACUCCGCGAUGAGCAAAGUUGUGACCAGGACGUCGUCUCUCGCCCCAGUCUGCUCACGGAGGACCGGGGAACGCCAGCGUGGAAGUGGUGGAGGUGGCUGAGUGUGAGGCUGUGGAAGGGAUGUAGGGUGAAGGUAUAUAGCCUCUGCUGCCUGGGUAGCCGCCGGCACCACUACCACCACUGCCCAGGCUGGCUGCUGGCAAGUAAUGGAACCCUCUGCCUUAAUUUCUUUGUUAUUCUUGCCAGUGUGGUUUAGGUCACAACAACAUUUGAACGUUUCUCCGUUAUCGAGAAUAAUAUUCUUAGGUUAGUUUUAGGUGGAAAAAUGUGUUGAUUCCGUGCUGAUUUGUUGAGAGUACGUGUUUUCCAGCUGUUUUCCUGGUAAUUGAGACAUCGGCGAAGGUUUUAUCAUGGAAAUGUUCUCGAUAAUAUGAUUACACACACACACACACACACACACACACACACACACACACACACACACACACACACACACACACACACACACACACACACACACACACAGACACACACACAAAACGGUAAUUCGUGUUUUUUUUUUUUAUGUAUGAGUGGCCAGUGGGUUGAAAAAUAAAAGUCUUUAAUUGGCUGUCCUUUAAAGUAUGUAGUAGGAGAGCUUUAAAAGGGAAGGGCAAAUUAGUUUCAGUGGUGAGUCUCGAUACUCCUGUCUCGAAAAAAAAUGUAAGGGAGGAAAGUGGAAUUAAAAGGCAGAGCGCUCAAGAGCUUUGAAAGGGAUGCAGUGUGGGAUUAAUAAGGUGCACAGAAUAGGGGUGAGAGUAAGUAGGAAGUCUUAUGGAACUAGGCCGCGGAAGGGAAUGGUGAACGGGAUGUAGUUACCAAGUUCAGAUUAGUGUCCGUGACAAUACGAUAAAACACAACUAGAUACAACAUUGCUUACAUGCAGGAUUUUUAAAGUCACUAAUGAAAACCUCAUCCGAAACUACUGCGCAUAUACCCUCCAGUAAUAAGCCAGACAGUCAGAAUUUCAUAAUAAAAGUAAUAAAGAGCUAUUGUGCUGAAGAGCCUUGAAAAAAUGUUGCUUCUCCCUUUUGGCUGAGACCGAGACUUUUUUGCUGAACGUGUCCCUCAGCGCCGCUUUGUGUCAAGCUGAUGAAUGUGUGUCAUUAAGAUAUAAAUGGAUACAAUUUGUGCUUGUAAUUUUUGCGUAUUGGUUUCUCUUCACCAGCAAUUGUUCGGAUGCUGUGUCAGGUGAGUCUUAAACACCAGUGCAGUGUGUCGUGCAUGCAGGAGGAGCCUUUAGAUAUUCGAAACGAUGUGUCGGUUCUUGCAUUACAGGUCAGUCAAGUUCAUUCGUUUGAUGUAAUUACCUCCGUCUUUAUUUACCCGAGUCUGUUUAUUUAUUCACUUGUGCUGGGAACUGCUUUGUAUUUCACUCAAGUUUAAAUUUUGUUGUUUUUUCUCUUCGUAAAUAGCGAAAAGAAAAUCUAAUACGAUUCGCGUGGCGAAAUACGAAACCUGAAAAAAAAAAUAUAUAUAUAUUUGAAGCGUCGCCGCCUGGCUUCCAGGAAUGAUGCGCAAGUUUCGCAAUGUUUGAGUAAAUUUUGCUCGGUAGUAUUUUGCUGCAAUGAAAUCGUAUGAAGGUUUCUGGUUUUAAUUGGGGUCAGUGAACAACAAAAUUAAUAUUAUAUUGAGCAGACACGGAAGUCGUUGCUUCAGUCUUAACAACUGGAACGGAAGAUCAUAAAUGUGAAUGUUACCUGAUGGAGAUUUUCAGGUGAAUAAAAACGGCGAAACGAUGCAAGAGUUGACCUGAAGGCACGUCACGGACAGCUGUGAGCCACCCAAGAUGACCUGGCACUAGUGCCAGCCUUUGUGUAGUUUGGCGUAAAGAUUUCUGGUGAACAUUAGUUUGACCACGGUAAUUUAGCUUAUACCAUACAUCAAAUGCAUUUGAUAUUAUAAACGUUAUAGUGAGUGGAACUGAGUGUACUGUAAAAAGCAGCUUGUACUACAGCACAGGAGCGUUUUCCAUUCACUUCACUGGGGCACCGCAAGAAUUUUGGGUGUUCAUGUUUGUCUUCGCCGCAACCCACAGCGUGAGGCAGGUCUUGGUGCGCCUCGAACCAUCCCAGCGGGUCUGCUUCAUCACAAUAAUUCAAUUAGGCUCAGAAGAUCUGUAAGGGAUCGUUAUUCUGAGUCUUCCCGGGAGAUAUUUUUAUAUUUAAGUUGUUUGUUUAAUGAAAGAACGAUUUGGCACUGAAAAGUAUAAGUGUACUUAAGUGUAUUGAGUGGUAUUAUAUGUGUAUAUGGUGUGCGUGCGCGCGCCUUUUUUUUUUUUUCCAUUGUGCGAGAAUCUUCUGAUUUCACAGUUUGCUUGUUUUUUGUAAAUUCCCAAAAUCUUACGCUUAGGAAGAGGAUGAGAGCGAGUCUGCAGAAAAUAAUGCAGUGCUUGCGAUGGAGUGCAGGCGUGACCUUCAUGAGGACGCGCCGGGGGAUGGGGGUGAUAAUCCGGUUUGUUGGAACGGCAUGAAAUUCUGUUUCGAAUUCCUGGCGGGGCGAAAGUUGGUGAUGAUAAACGGCAUUUCAUAUCAGCACCAGUUCUAACGGAGAAGACUGGUUUUUCUCGAUAAUUCAUCGGCGAGAAACAAGUUCAUUGAUCCAGUUUGUAAUGGCGUGACACAUUCUUAACUGGAGGAUGUACGAGCUCUGUCUCUUAAAAUGGAGUAGAUACAUUUCUCUGCUCUCAAUGUUUUGCGAAAGUUUAGUGCAUGUGAUGGGCGCACUCGUACAAUAGUGGAAUACUUACACUGCGUCUGAAUACAUACUUGCCAUUCUGGUGUAAUAUUCUGCUUGGGGUCGAAAAGUUUUAAGUUCAUUUCUGUCCCGUCAUUUUCUCAGUGGAAGAUGUAUCGCUCUUUUGCAGCCUUACCGGGCAUCAUACGGCCUCGUUGAUUCGGUGUAAUUCAAUCAGUAGUUGUUGAUUCGUGUGGAGAUUGAAAGAAAAAAAGUAGCAUAAGAUACAACACAUCGUGCUGGGUGUUGUGAGCUGCAGAGGUUGGUUGGUUCUCGCCGCCCCAUGUCGGCGUGCUGGGGUUCAGGAUCUUCACGGUCAAUAUAAAAGAUUGUUGCUGGCAUUGUGUUACUUUGAAACUUCGAGGAAUGUUAGCCUUAAAAGUUCACUAUUUCUCUUAUGGUUUCUUUAGUACAGAUUCAACAGCUGCAGUGACUCCUUUCCCUACCUCUUCCUUUUGCCAUCCCGCUCCCCGCCCUUCCCUUCACUUCCCUUCCCUUUACAUGCUUGGGUGGGGAUGUCCUGCAGCCCCAGCAACCCUGGUCUCAGAUAAACACAAGGGCAAAUGUUUACUGGGAGAAUGUCACAACUGCUGUUCUGUUCUUGCUCCCCAUAAUUCCUACUCGCCCCUCCACGGUGCGCUGACAACUCCAGCAACCCUUGCCGCUCUGUAUGGUCGCCCCAACCACCCCAACAGUGUUUCUUCCAUUUUACAUUUGUACUUUAGGGUAUGGCGAGAAAUAGAUUGGGUGGGAUAGGAUGGGAAAAGUACAAGGAAAUAAGAGCGGUGUGGUGAUUGAGAAUACAUACCCUUUACCCCCGCCCUGCAGCUGCCUGCACCCGAAAAGCGUUUCUUCCAUAUUUUGUAUUUAGAUUUCUACCAAGAGUAUGAUAGGAAAGGGAUUUAAGCGUGUGGGAUAGUGUGUGAAAAGUACAAGGAAAUAAAGAAAGGUGUUGAUGAAAUAAAAGUACACGUGGUUUAGGUUUGCUAUUCGUACAUCGGGACAGUGUAUACUUCCUUUAUGACGAGGGAAGAGCCAAUGUGAGUUGCAGUGUCCAUCGUCAGCCAAACAGUUUACAGUCAGAAGGGAGUCGGCGUCUUGGUGCAGGUAGGAGACUUGGCUUUGGUUUUGCACCAGCUAUGUGUGUAUGUGUGUCUGUGUCAAAAGGAGUGAAUCAGCACCAGUGGUAUAUUCGUGCAGGCAUCCGAAAUAGAUAGGCUGCUUUUUGUGUCAAGGCCAGCAGUGACAGGAAAGUACCAUAAACAACCGUCAGACCAGCGGUGUCAGCCUGUACUUGGAGGUAAUUUGGGACGGUCCUUGUUUUUACUUCUGUGUCAUCCUUAAGCAAUCACCAUUCUUCUCGCUGAAACCAUGAUCCAGAAAGAGAGAGAGAAAAAAAAAAUAAUGGAAGCUUCUUGGGUGGUGGAGUGGACGAGAAAGGAGUAGAAUAAUAAGAGUCGUUUGGUGAAGCGUGGUGGUAGUGGUGAAAGGAGAGGGAGGAGGUGGAUAAAGGAGGUGGAUGAGGGCUGCAGACAGAGGAGGACGAAUGAGGUGGAGAGCGGCUGCAGACGAAGGAGAUGGAGAUGAGUUUUAGAGAGAGAAAGGCGAGGGAGGAGUCGGAUAAAGACUGCAGAGAGAGAGAGAGUAUAGGGCGAUGGAGGAAGUGGGGAAGGGUUAUAGAAAGAAAGGCGAGGGCAGAGGCGGAGACAUGUUAGGUCGUAUUUUUAAGCGCUUUGUUCUCUCAUCAGCUCCAUUUUCGAAGACCACGGGGAUGUUUAGUCGUGGUCAUACAGGUGUUGCUUCCCUCUGAUAUGCAGAAAUCCAGUGUACACUAUCACAGGAAGAAUUAUGGAAACACCCUUGAAAACCCCAGCAGCUUCCACUAGAAAAGAUGCUAAAACGUUUAUGAAUACCGUUGACGGAGGAGACAGGGAUGGGCAGCAGACACUGGGAAGGAGGAGGAACAGCGGACAGAGGAGAUGGGGAAAGGCUGCAGACAUAGGAGGGCAAGGGAGGAGGCGGGGAGGGAGUGCAGACAGAGGAAGGCGAGGAGAAGCGUGCAGGCUCCUUUAGCUUCUGCACCAACCGCCCUCCCAUCAUGGAGCGUCGCCUCGCCGUAGCUCAGCAUCGCCUUGAAAAAUGGCCGCGGAUCCAAUUAUUCGCAGCUCCUUACUCAAGCUCACUUAAACCGAGCUGUCUGGCGGCCGAGCCCAGUGCUACUCCACCCUUUAUUUACUUGUCUUCGCUAAGAUACACUACAGGCAUCGCUUCCCUGCGCGCCCCUCCUCGCCCACCACUACGGAGCAUACUCGGAUAUUCUCUUUUUUUAAUAUUUCUUUUUUCUUUCCUGCGCUUUCGUAUUGCCUUCCCCUGAUGAUAGUGAUGAUAUUUGGUGAUAUAAUAUAGUGGUGAUGGUGCAGCUGUAUCUGAUUUAGUGGUGGUGUUGCUUGUUGAUGUAGUGGCAGUGAUGACAGUAAUUGAUGAGGUGAAGAGAAUAGCAAGUAGUAGAUGAUUUAGUGGUGGUGGUGCUGGUAGUGAUGGUCAAGUGGUAGUGGUGAAGGUAGUGAUUCCUGUACGCUUAAUGAUAGGGCUUUUUGAUAGUGCAGGUCCUGGUACUUAAGUGUGUACACAAAUGUAUAUAAUUAUACCGGUACUCUGGCACGGAAAAAUUUUACUUGCUGUUUGAUCAAAUGAUAACGAACAGCGAAUAUAAUUAAUGUGGGAAAUGGCGUUAAAAAGAAGCGGAAUAAUUCGUGUUCCGUCACCACCGAGUUUGCUGAAAUUUUAACAGGUGUUUUGUGAUCUUUGUUUUCUGCGUCCAGCAUUGCACCACCUCGGUGGGUUGUUAAAGGCAUCGCUGUGUUGCUUUGUGGCGAGUGGAUAAAAAGGAGAAUAUAACAGUAUUGCAUAAUAAUUUAUCUGAAUGCAGAGUAUUCGUUGAAUUAUUCUAUUGCCUCAUGGUGUGUAUUGCACCUGCGUGGAUGACGUGAGCCUCGAGCUUCCUGCGUUCGGUGUGCAGCGCAUUGGUCAGUGUGUGUCGUGCCCCUGGUUGCUCUGCCUGCCAAGUACCUCUCCUGGUAUGCCGCCAUCUUGAAAACCCUGGGUACUGCUGCCUCGUUCAGUCUUGUCUCAUCUAUCUUUACCUCCUGACAUGUAGCUGUAGUGUGCGUAGUGUUGUAAAGGUCUCAGUAUAUCAUACAUACACUAAAACUAUCAUCAUCUUUAUCUUCCUGCCGCCUCAUCACUGCUUUGUCGUGUGCUGCAAGUAGAGGCUGCUUUUGGGAACGUACCUUUUCCUUAUAUUUAAUUUUACCAACCGGAGAGGACAGGAUCUUGUGUAGCGGAAGAAUUGUUACCGGAUUCUGAACUGAACCGGAUCCUUAUGCUUUUUUUGUCCAGGAUUAAUUAUAAUUCAUAUUAAUUGGAAUCUGGAUAUUACGCGGAUGAUAAAUGUUUAGGGCGCGUGCUGCAAGUCUUUCCUGAGUGAAGGUGUUGCCUGAGUUCACCUACCUACGUAUUUGUUAACCUUUGCCUUUUCGUUUGCGUUUGUUUUGAGGUUCGUCUUUAAUUUUCUACAAGUGAGAUGCAUUUUCAUUCAACCAAUUACCCGAAACAUCAACUAAUAAUCAUACCUUGUAAUUUUACCAAAAGUAAAAAAAAAAAAUAUUUCAAUGUAAAAUAAAUAAAUAAAAAAAAGGUAUUGACUCUUAAACGCGUACACGCACGCAUCUUUUCUUAAUAGUUGUCUAAUUAACUUAAUCCAAUAACUUGUGACGUUUUAUUGUGUUAUUUGAAGUGACCCAAUAAACAGUAGAGCAACGAUAACUGCAGCUGUGGAGUAAAUUCAGUGAUGUACUUUGCAGGGUAACGUAAGCCUAAGGGAUUGGAAGGGAAGGGGGCUUUUAGAAAUGACAAAUAAUAUCCUGCACUGGCGGGUUGAGCUGCUGGAGGUUCAUACUGACAUCUUCUGUGUGGGGAACAAUAAGCACCGUCGUAUGGAGAGAGAGAGAGAGAGAGAGAGAGAGAGAGAGAGAGAGAGAGAGAGAGAGAGAGAGAGAGAGAGAGAGAGAGGAUGGGGGGAGUGGAGCAGGAAGCACUAAAUGUAUGGUGCGAGACGGUUUAAAAAGAAAAGAUGUGCUACGGGACUGUUUAUUAUUUCCAACAAAAGCCUUAGUCAUCACAAACACAAACCGCCCCAUUCUUGCUAGCUGGAAACACACACACACACACACACACACACACGCACACACGGCAGUAUCUCAUUCCCAAGUAAAAAGUCCUUCAGAUUCCAAACAGCUGCAGAGUUCAUUAUUUUCUGUCAUGGAAUAAGAAGUGUGUCAAGAAAUGAUAACUGUGAAUCUGUCGAAGAAGAGAGAGACGUGUUUAAGUGGCACUUUGCCCGCCCUGCAUUAUUGGAGACCAACCCUCCUCCUCCUCCUCCUCCUCCUCCUCCCACCUUCUCCGCUCAUUCCCACCCCUCCCGACCUGUGAGCUUGCUGCAAAUUAAAGUCUAGAGAACCCUCCCCCCUUCCAGACGCCUCGAACGGUGGUAUUAGUGGUGGUGAGACUCAUCGACGAGAGAGAGAGAGAGAGAGAGAGAGAGAGAGAGAGAGAGAGAGAGAGAGAGAGAGAGAGAGAGAGAGAGAGAAUGUAUACAAACACAGUCACAUACACACAGUUUCCCCCUUAACGCCUUAAUCACCACUGUAGGGGGAGUGUCAGCCCUCGCUACUGCUAAGAGUGUGGCCCCGUCAAAAAGGAGAGAAGAAAAACCCUCCCUUGUAAACAGAGAAGUAAAUGGUGGUGGUCUUUCAGGAUGGCUUCCCCGCGUGUCGCUCUUUGUCCCUCCCUCCUUCCUGGCGCGCUAUCUUAACUACUGUUGUUCUAAUCCACUUUGCCUUGUGGUAUUUUUUAAUGAUCCGGCGGCAGGACGGCAAUGGGGCUCGCUCCCCGUGGACGUGGUGUUGGUUUCCUGUGCUUUUUAAACUUGGACUCUGUGUUUAAAAAGUGCUGCUACCUCUUUUCUUGCUUUUUUUUUUUUUUGGGCGGCCAGCAGAAAUUCACUCGUAAUAUUAACAAUUUUUUCCCUUAUGUACAAACUUUAUUAUUAUUUUUCUGUUUUAAAGUUUCCAGGGUAUGGAAAGUUUUUUUUGAUGUGGAAAGUUUGUACGUGGGAAGUUUGUCUGAUGUCUGACCCCUUUCUUGGGUAACAAUUUAUCUGGCGAUGCAAGUUAGGUUGAUAAUAGUUACAGGCACACGGGCAUACGAUAGGUAGUGGCAGAAGGGAGGGAAGGAGCAGCAGUGUGGUGGAGAGGGUGGGGAAGUGCUGCAGCUGAGAGACUCCUGGGUGCUGAGAACAGUGAUGGGUAGUGGUGGUUAUGGUGGGGAGGAGCUUGACGGGGAAGCAGAGGGGCUAAGUUGUGCUUCCGGAAAUGUCAUGUGGUGUUCCUUUGUACUGUACCAGCGCGUAGCCUGCCUUCCACGCCCGCAGCACCGCCAGUAUGUACGUACCCUCAACCUUAGCCUUGGCACACGAUCCCUUCUUGCUGCCUGUACUUAAUAUCUUCCCUCAGGUAAUUACGGCCGAGCUCGCAGUAAUGGCCCCUUACGGUGGAGCAACUGCUGAAAAAAGAGGAGGCGCCAUAGGUUUUAAGGCACUUAGGGUCCUCGCGGGCGGGACGGCAAGCCCCAAACACCCCUUUAAGACCGGUUUUCUUGGCGUGGUGGUUGUGGCCCUGCUGGUGGUGGUGGUGGUGGUGGUGGCUGUGGUGUUUGUGUGGUGAUGGUGGUGGUGAUGAUGGUGGUGCAGGAGACUACUUGUACAUCUUCAUGUCGUUCUCCUGUGGGCUUAUUUCAUUUUCCUUUUGUGCCUCCUCCUCCUCCUCCUCCUCCUCCUCCUCCUCCUCCUCCUCCUCCUCCUCCUCCUCCUCCUCCUCCUCCUCCUCUCGUGCCGUUAGCUAAGUAACUGUGUCAAACAAAUUGCCUCUUGUUGCAGUUGCUACCACUCACCAUAUAUGCUGGAGUCUCGUUAUCAGAUUGAUCGAUGGUCCUUCCUCCUGACGCAGAGCUGUAGCGAAGGUAGCACUUGGCCUGACGGGGGAAUUGUAAAGUGAAAUGCUUCGUAAAUCACUUGGAAACCUCACGCUGUUGGUGAUGAUGCUAAACUGGUGAUGAUCAUUGAGGAUGGUGAUGACGGUGUCUAUAAACAUUACUGAACGGUUGAUAAUAGUGUUUUGAUUUGCAUUUACUUGUAUAUAAUGACAAGCACUGGAGUCAUUAAACCUUUAUGCACGAUAAUUCUCUCGUUUUAUAAGACUUAUCUCUUUCACGUGGGCUAACAGUCACAUAUGGAGUCUUGUUGAAGUGUUGUUCUAUAUUCUUGGUGCUUGUAAGUGUUGUGAUUGUGGUUGUGGUGGGGGAUGUGGGGAGGUGCAGGGCCAGUCUUGGUAACUAAAGGGGAAAGACAGUCAUUAAACCCUCGUAUUCAUCAGGCUUAAGGAAAUUCUGGCCACGCGCCGCGCCAUCCAUCACCAACAUCCAUCACCAACUUGUGCUUGAAUCGAAGGAAGGCGGCCACACACACACACACACACACACACACACACACACACACACACACACACACACACACACACACACACACACACACACACACACACACACACACACUCCAGCGUUCUCUACUAAUGACAUAGGUUGAUGGAGUUGUUUUUUUUUGCUCUUUUUUGACUGUAACUUUAGAUUGGUACUACUACUACUACUACUACUACUACUACUACUACUACUACUACUACUACUACUACUACUACUACUACUACUACUACUACUACUACUGGCGUGACUGUAGGAAUUGCAUUAGGUUCACACAGUAAUAAUUUCUAAGCAACGUUUCUAACCUAGUCUUCUCAUUGGGGUUCCUCACAUUUACCUAAAUUUAGACGGUUUUACUUUUGUUCAGGCACUACCGCCCCCCCUCCCACACACACACACACACACACACACACACACACAGAGAGAGCACGGCCACCACCACCACCGUAGUUAUUUCCCGCCUCCAUUUCCUCUUGUCCGAUAAAAUGCGGGGCCUAAUAUUUCGUGGCCGAGACUCGCACAUUCACCGCUGCAUUCCUCACGCGCGUGUUAACUUUAAUGUCACAUUCUUAUGGUCACUCAUUGCCCACCACACGGCUACACACACACACACACACACACACACACACACACACACACACACACACACACACACACACACACACACACACACACACACACACACACACACACACACACACACACACACACACACACACACACACACACACACACACACAUUAACAGGGUGUGAAUUCCUGAUCUAAUGGGUGUGUUUGAUAACCUUUCCGAAUAAUGAUGGUAAAAAAAAUCAUGAAAAAUAUUGAUGAUAAUAAUAAUUUGAAGGGUUAGCAUUGUUGGCGAUGGCUGAGGGUAGUUUAAUGGGAAUAAUGACGAUGGUGUGCUCUUCACGGCUUUAUGAGCAUCCUUUAUGGCACAUUAACAUGGUGUUAGAGUGAGGCACUCCACAACGCCCGCCGCGCCACAACCCUCAUCGCCCGUGAUAUUAAGAGCUUGAGCGGGUGUGGGGGCGGGUGUGGAUGGUUUACAUAGCUAUGGGAAGCAGCAACCCCCCCCCCCCCCACACACACACACACACACACACACACACACACACACACACACACACACACACACACACACACACACACACACACACACCGUGCCUGCUGUAGCUUCCUGAAGGCCAUUAUAUGCCCGGAUUUAUGUUUUAGUUACCAUUUUGUUGUAGCAGUGCGUGUGGAGGCGGUGGCGGCGGCAGUGCACGGUGGCGGAGGGCGUGUCGGCGUGGCCCUCGCAUGCACCCGGAUUUAUUGGACGCUCUGCGGGCUGUUAACGACCGGCCAGUUGUCCCGAGGCUGGAAUGACUGCCGGCUGGACCUAAUGGAUGACCGCCCUCCCACCCCCACCUCAGCUCUCCCUCAUCUCCCUCCUCCUCACUCCUCCGCGUCCCUCCCACGUGCCGUUUUUACGCCGCAGAAACCUACCGCCCCCGCCCUCGCCGCUGCCGCACACCUGGUCAGGUCAGUCCAACCCCACUCGGUUAAAAUUGAUGUUAUUAAUUUUGGCCUUGCCGUGGUGGGAUAGCGUCGGGCCGGGCAGUGUUGCGUGCUGGUGUCGGCGUCCUAAUGGUGCUCCUCACUCUCCUUAGUGAACCCUGACCUGUGAACAUUUUUGUACUGGUCGACUGUGUUUCUUACCGCGAUGGCUUCCGGAUGCGUGUAGAUUUGCAGAAUGGACUUUACUGGCGGUUACACAUACACAUCGUUUCCUCUUCAGUUCGGGAUGUCCGGCAACAUGCGUUAGCUUAUCAUAGGGUCAUAGGGUGCUCCGCGCAAUAAUGUUGGGUCUAUAUUAAAAAACGCUUUGCUUUCUCAUCACGACUAUUUUUAAAGGCCACAGAGAUGAUGAUUAGUCGGGUUUUCAAUGAGUGUUUCUCCUAUUCAUAGUGAAGAAAUAUUAUUGAUCUAUCAUUAGAACCGUAAAAUUAUCCUGAACUCGUGUAACAUCAUCUAGAGCCUAUUGAAAGUCAGGGAAGUGUGGCCAGAAGUUUUCAGAACAUGGUCCUUAGUGCCAUUCUGGUCCCCUAUGCCGUGUGCGUCGUUCUGUCCCGUGAGUGGUGGCCAUAAACUUCCCCGUUUUAACACAGGUGACAGUUCGCGCUCCAUCAGGUCGUCUUGCCACAUGCACACGAUCUUGGUGUAUAUAUAAUGAGGCAGCUUUACCCUUUAAAGCGUGUCUGGUAAAUGAAAUGGUGUGUAUUAUUACCAUUCCGUUAAAUAUAGGUAGCUCUAUAUGAUAAAUUCAUUAUAUUAAUUACUUGAACAAAUAUUCAGCCGUAGCCCUGAUAUGAAUUACAUGCAUUAUUAAUUGGUCAGAACUUAAUAUGUUCAAUCAGAAUUUUAAAUGUUUGUUUUCCUAAUUUUAAUCCCUCCGUCUCUCUCUCUCUCUCUCUCUCUCUCUCUCUCUCUCUCUCUCUCUCUCUCUCUCUCUCUCUCUCUCUCUCUCUCUCUCUCUCUCUCUCUCUCUCUCUCUCUCUCUCUCUCUCUCAUUGCCUAUAUGUGCUGCAGUUUGUGAAGUCAUAAUUUCUGGUCGUGUUGUGUCGUGGUACUACACUUGGUAAAUAGUAUGAGAGGGGGAACAAUAUUGAGUCUCCUAUAACACACACACAGAUAUACACACACACACACCGACCCACCCCUCAACACACCGACUCACUCACUCACCCACCCAUACACUCACUCACUCAGUUGUCUGCCCGUGUGUGCGUGUGUUUUUGCGGUGUAUGAUUGACGUUUAGUGCACCAAACACUUGGGAAGGAAAGCAGGAAGAGUGGGAGUGUGAAGGCCCCUCGUCAUCCAGCCUCGUGGUGUACUAAUGAACGCUGCUAUAGAAAGGGUCUCCACUUUUCUUACUCUUCCUGUGGUCAUGAUUCUCUCUCUCUCUCUCUCUCUCUCUCUCUCUCUCUCUCUCUCUCUCUCUCUCUCUCUCUCUCUCUCUCUCUCUCUCUCUCUCUCUCUCUCUCUCUCUCUCUCUCUCUCUCUCACAACGAUAUGCAUUGUAUGAGACAACUAGACCACUGUUUAUGCGUUGUAACACACACACACACACACACACACACACACACACACACACACACACACACACACACACACACACACACACACACACACACACACACACACACACACACACACACACACACACACACACUUGCACAAUCACACACACAAUCUCACUCACGCACGCAAUCACACUCACUCACACUUACGGCUCUCCUUGGCAUCCCUCACGCACCUUUUUAGCCGAGCCUGCCACGAAUCCGGUAACUUUACUCCAUAGUGAUGCCCUUGUUGUCACGAGCCUGGCGGAGCUGUGCCCUCUUUCCCUUAUGCUGAUGUUAAUUUAUUUAGUCCGUCUUGGUUGUAACGUUAAAUUAUCUUUAACUGUGGGUAUUGUAGUUAAUGGGAUACAAUUUUUUUUUUUUUAUGAACAAUUACUGCAGGCAUGCUUUUUCUUUUUAUGGAGGUAUUGGUUUCUCAAAUAUAUAAUUACCUGU